GACGAACGCUGGCGGCGUGCUUAACACAUGCAAGUCGAACGGAAAGGCCCUGCUUGCAGGGUGCUCGAGUGGCGAACGGGUGAGUAACACGUGGGUGAUCUGCCCCUUACUUUGGGAUAAGCCUGGGAAACUGGGUCUAAUACUGGAUAGGACCAUGCUGUAGGGGGUGUGGUGGAGAGAUCUGUUUCGGUAAGGGAUGAGCGCGCGGCCUAUAAGCUUGUUGGUGGGGUAAUGGCCUAACAAGGCGUCGACGGGUAGCCGGCCUGAGAGGGUGGACGGCAAGAUUGAGACUGCGACGGGAGGCAGCAUCCUGCAGGAGGCGGCAAUGGGGGAUAUCGUACUAUAGGCGCAAGCCUGAUGCGACGACGCCGCGUGGGGGAUGAAGGCCUUCGGGUUGUAAACAACUUUCGGACAUGACGAAGCCCUUGUGGUGACGGUAGUGGUAGAAGAAGCACCGGCUAACUACGUG
RNAcentral lists this ribosomal RNA (469 nucleotides) under uncultured bacterium. RNAcentral's name for it is "partial 16S ribosomal RNA". It matches the Rfam family "Bacterial small subunit ribosomal RNA", at positions 28 to 507 of the family's 1533-position model. The record is from RNAcentral.